Molecule: ribosomal RNA, 429 nt
Filed under: uncultured bacterium
Lineage: Bacteria
Description: bacterial SSU rRNA
Rfam family: Bacterial small subunit ribosomal RNA
Source: RNAcentral
UGGGGAAUUUUGGACAAUGGGCGCAAGCCUGAUCCAGCCAUGCCGCGUGAGUGAAGAAGGCCUUCGGGUUGUAAAGCUCUUUCGCAAGGAAAGAAAACUUACUCGUUAAUACCGGGUGAGGAUGACGGUACCUUGAUAAGAAGCACCGGCUAACUACGUGCCAGCAGCCGCGGUAAUACGUAGGGUGCGAGCGUUAAUCGGAAUUACUGGGCGUAAAGCGAGCGCAGGCGGUUUUGUAAGUCAGAUGUGAAAGCCCCGGGCUCAACCUGGGAACUGCGUUUGAAACUGCAAGGCUAGAGUAUGGGAGAGGGGGGUAGAAUUCCACGUGUAGCAGUGAAAUGCGUAGAGAUGUGGAGGAAUACCAAUGGCGAAGGCAGCCCCCUGGCCUAAUACUGACGCUCAUGCUCGAAAGCGUGGGGAGCAAACAGG